Molecule: transfer RNA, 70 nt
Filed under: Dipodomys ordii (Ord's kangaroo rat)
Lineage: Eukaryota; Metazoa; Chordata; Mammalia; Rodentia; Heteromyidae
Rfam family: tRNA
About the family: Transfer RNA (tRNA) molecules are approximately 80 nucleotides in length. Their secondary structure includes four short double-helical elements and three loops (D, anti-codon, and T loops).
Source: Rfam by way of RNAcentral
GUAGGUGGCUUAAUGGUAGAGUGCUUGCCUAGCAUGCAUGAAGCCCUGGGUUUGAUUCCCCAGUAUUACA